GUGCCAGCAGCCGCGGUAAUACGUAGGCAGCAAGCGUUGUUCGGAAUUACUGGGCGUAAAGAGUGUGUAGGCGGUUUUCUAAGUUUGGUGUGAAAUCUCCCGGCUUAACUGGGAGGGUGCGCCGAAAACUGGAAGGCUUGAGUGCCGGAGAGGAUAGCGGAAUUCCUGGUGUAGCGGUGAAAUGCGUAGAUAUCAGGAGGAACACCUGCGGUGUAGACGGCUAUCUGGACGGCCACUGACGCUGAGACACGAAAGCGUGGGUAGCAAACAGGAUUAGAUACCCUCGUAGUCC
This 292-nucleotide ribosomal RNA is filed under the name uncultured bacterium. RNAcentral describes it as "partial 16S ribosomal RNA". It matches the Rfam family "Bacterial small subunit ribosomal RNA", at positions 505 to 796 of the family's 1533-position model. The record is from RNAcentral.